GUGGAUUAGAUACCCUGGUAGUCCACGCCCUAAACGAUGAUAACUCGAUGUUGGCGAUAUACAGUCAGCGUCUUAGCGAAAGCGUUAAGUUAUCCACCUGGGGAGUACGCCCGCAAGGGUGAAACUCAAAGGAAUUGACGGGGGCCCGCACAAGCGGAGGAGCAUGUGGUUUAAUUCGAUGAUACGCGAGGAACCUUACCCGGGCUUGAAAGUUACUGAAUUAUCUAGAGAUAGAUAAGUCCUUCGGGACAGGAAACUAGGUGCUGCACGGUCGUCGUCAACU
Molecule: ribosomal RNA, 283 nt
Filed under: uncultured bacterium
Lineage: Bacteria
Description: partial 16S ribosomal RNA
Rfam family: Bacterial small subunit ribosomal RNA
Source: RNAcentral